Triticum urartu is the source of this 1537-nucleotide non-coding RNA. NCBI's taxonomy places the organism in Eukaryota, Viridiplantae, Streptophyta, Magnoliopsida, Poales, Poaceae. The record is from RefSeq and is a predicted model, not a curated record.
GAUACGUCACAUAAGUUCCGUAUCGGUGCAGGAUACUGCACUAGGACGGGGAUACGUCCGGAUACGCGUGGGAUACCCGUAUCCCUACGUAUCACGUUUUUGCGAAUUAAAAUAAAGAGAAAAAAAUAGGGAUACGACUGGGACACGCGGGGAUACACCACGGAUACGUUAGGCCUGUUACCACUCGAUCUCCAGCCCAUCAAAAAAGGCCUACUCGCGAUGGGUAAAUAAACCUAAUCGCUGGAGUCCAUCCUGCCGUCACCUGCAGUUGCCAAAUCGUGAGGGUUCGAGCCGCAUCUCCAGACUCCCUUCCGCCGCCGGCGCCGGCGGCACCUCGCAGCUCGCUGCCUGCCUCCGUCCUCCAACUCCAAGUCGGCAAGUCUUCCCCAUCCUUAGUCUGUACGCAAGGAAUGACGUGUAGGUUUGUGAUGGCGAUUUCCCAGGGAGUUAUUCAGAUCACCCUGAAUGAAAAAGAUCAGGAGGCCGCGGAUGCAGCCGUUGAGGCGGACGGUAUGGCGACCGCGGCGACGGAGAAGGUCGGCGAAUCUGAGGCGCGAAUCGGCGACGAAGUCCGGGUCGUCGCUGGCUCUAGUUCCAGGUCGUAUUUUGACUGUGCGGUUUCUUUAGCAAUUGUAUCCACGUGAAUUGCCUUGAUGUGUCUGCUGCGGUCAACAGAACUUGCUAGCAUCGACGUUGGCGGCUUGAAGUCAAUUCGGAGGCAACAACUCAAGGUUUUAGGCGAACCCCGACGACGAUGAUGCUGCUGCAGCGAUUUGGUUGACGCAAGGCCCACUUUAAUCGGCCUACUGUAGAAAGCGGGAUUAUACAGGGGCAGUUUGGCGCUCACACCGCAGCAGUGGCGAGGCGGAGUUGGGGCCGUGACCUUUCUUGACGAAUCCAAAUCCAGGUCUCCCUCGUGGCGCUUGUCGUAUUCUUAGAGGAAAAAAAAAAUUAAGCCUCGAAUCCGGGUCUCCCUCGUGAUGGUGAAGACAGGCGACUCGGCAGCGGCGGUCAAGGCGACCUGGCGCAUCAAAUUAACCUGAGGCCAGAGACAUGCAGCUAGCAUCUUCUUCCGGGUCGUCGUUAGAUUUUCAGCAAAAAAAAUCUUAAACCGCCCUCAUGAUCUUUCUUCUCAUGGUGCAGUUGGCUAGUCUGAACAUGGUCUUCUUCUUUUUUUAUUCACAUCAACUCGCAUCUUGAAGCUGGUGCAAACAGAACACCUUUCAGCUAGUCCAUCAUGAUGACCAGGUUUGCUAGAGCAAACAAAUCGGCUAUUGAUCUCGGGAUUUGAAGCAAACAACUACGGUUUGAUGGAUGUGAGCAUAUCUCUUCCUUUGAUCUAACGUGGAGGCAACUCACAAUUGACAACUUGGAUUUGGCAGCGGCGGCAGACCACACCGUAACCCUAAUUUCUCUUUUUUGACUUGAAUCUUCUGGAUUGUAAAAUCUAAACCAGUAACCACAAGGCUAAGUCUUUCUUAUCCGAAGAAUUGUAAACUCCUCGAUCCCUGAGAGAGAUCCCUUCAAAAACUCAACA